Molecule: long non-coding RNA, 3556 nt
Organism: Triticum aestivum (bread wheat)
Lineage: Eukaryota; Viridiplantae; Streptophyta; Magnoliopsida; Poales; Poaceae
Exons: 2
Source: RefSeq, a predicted model, not a curated record
AAACCGAGCCACCAGCCCACGACCCUUCCUCUCUCGAUCUCAUCUGGACCUCCAGCCCCGCCCCGCCCCGCCCCUCACCGCCGUCCGCGGCUGCGCGCCGCCACCCCCUACUCCGCCGGCGCGCCUACCCAUUACCCCAAGUGCCAACACACCCACGUCCAUCGACUACGGGCGACCCGCGGCCUUCCACCGCCGGCGACGCUCGACGUCGCGGCCAUUGGCGGCUCCCCGGCCCUGCUACCAUGGCGCCUCCGGGAGUCCUCCCCGCUCCUUCCACCUCGACAUUGGUUUUCCCAACCCCGCCGGCUUCGCCACCAGCCACUCCUUCAGGCGCACUCUAUCCGCCGUCGUCGGACCCAUCCGACUGGUUCCAAUGGCGAACAUCGACGCGAUUCACCCGCCCACCAUCAGAUGCGACAGCAAAUCCAUAGCCCCUGGCCAUCCCCUCCGCCGCCGGCGCCGGUGCCUCGAAGUUCAAGGGAAGACCCUCUACUCGCCCCCCAUCGCCGUCCGCGCCGCCGCCCUUUGCCGCCGCCACCACCGCCGUCCAAAUCGCCGCCCCCAUAGCCGUCCAAACUACUCUCCGCAACACCUCUCCAUCCCACAGCUGCCGAAGACAGGGAGGAGGACGAGGCUGGCUAGGCAGGGAGGCCGAAGGUGAAGUGCAGUGGGAGGCGCAUCGGUUUGUGCAGAGGGAGGUCUAUGGUCAGCUCAUUGGAAUCUCACAGGCCACCACGGGGAGAGCAAUCACGCAGGCACAUCAACCUCCCCCGCCAGGUUUCUUACUAUGUGCGUGGAUGUGGCAUUGGAAGGAUAGAUGGCAGUACUCGUGUGGAUGCAACAACUGACUGUUAGUUUGUUCAUUCAGAGACUACCACGAACCAGUUUGAUUUGUGCUAUAAUGCUCUUGCAAAUAAUUAUAGAUGUUGGUGAAAACUGCAGAUGUUGUGGUGUUCAGGAAGGACCGUAGAUACAGCAGCGGUCCAUCCGCAACCGCGGCCACGGGUGCCUAAUCUAAGGCGACCUCCUGUUUUGACAUCGUCCUUGGUAGCUGCAAGCGUGGAAACAACCUUGGCAGUGCAGCGGCAGCCACAAGGUUGUUCCUAGACCACUCCACCUCUGAACUGUACAACCUGCUGUGCUUUCUAGCUAUUCUAUUUAUAUGUAGCCAUACAUUGGUACAGUUAAUUCAUAAACAUGAUUCAAUAGGAUUUGAUAUUUUUUCAUGUCUCAAGUUUUUAGCUCUUCCCUCUUGGUGUGCAAAUCUUUUAGAGGGAAUUUGGUGUGCCAAUUAUUUUCCUGAUUACUGUAGUUAUAGUUUUUCUCACUGUUAGAGCAGAGUAAAAUUCAAACUAUGAUAUUAGUGGUGGUUAGCUGAUAACUUGAUCAUAACAGGGGGCACACUAAUCUUCUUUCUUUUCUUCUCUAACAAAGUCUUAAUAUUAUAAGAAUGUUGUUUUCUUCUUUCAUAAUCUGACAAAUAAAAUUUCCCCUAAUUUCAGUUUGGAUAAGUCAAGGUUGCUUUUGGAUCUUAGUAGAAGAUAGACGUUAUGGAUUUAGACAAAAAUAGAUGUGGAUUUAGGGGUUCCGUAUGAUACUCAUGUCUUCUCUAUUUGGGGUACAAGUUCAAGUGAUCUUUUAGGCUACUAUUGAAGGGAAAUAUGUAUGCCGUUUUGUUCAUUUCAUCUCCACCUACCCACCUCGCAUGUGCGUUCCCCUUCCCACCGGUUUUAUUGAUUUUUUAUAACAAUAAUGCCUUAGGUUAUAAACCUACAAUAUAUUAACAUUCACUAGAUACUCAUUUUUGUCUGUAGCUACACAAUCCAACUACUCAAAGGAACAUACAGUUCUAGAAGUGAGAACUGUUGAGCUAUUAUAGCGCAGCCUUGGGAUGAUGGAUGUUCAGGCCAGCUAUGCAGACCUUAAGGUAAAUGUUUUUCCAGCUAAUUAACAUGAAAUGUCUUGUAACUUGAACUAAUAAUGAACAACUGAGGAAUGCUGCCUGAAUGAAUCCAAAAUGUGUUGGAAACACCAACGUCCAGUUGGAGAGGGAGCUAUCUGGAUCUCCAUCCAACUAGGACAUGUCUGCUUACAACUUUUUGUUGAACAUGAUAUUACAUGAUUCUAUCAAAGACAACUCUCCUUUCUUCAGUGUACAUGCAUGAUAUUACAUGAUUAAACAUACCAUUUUUAACUUCAUUUAGUUGUCUAUAUUAUGCUCUAUGUGCUAUCACCAACAAAAAUAGUGUUACCUCCGUACCAGGCCUACCAAAUAUCUUAUAUUUUGGUACACAUGUAGUAUUUUUAGCCUGCAAAGCGACUCCUAUGCCCAGUGUGCCAAUAAUGUGUUUGCACCAGUGAAGAGAUAACUUAUUUUUUACAUUGUAAGAAAUACAUCCUGUUUCUUCCCCAUCAUUUAAGUGUGUGGCAUGCUAUCUUUGUUCAUGUUGCUGGCUGUACAUUUUCAGUAUUGUCAGGAUAUAUCUGAUUAUGAUGAUGUUCAGUACUACUCCCUCCGUUCCUAAAUAUUUGUUUUUCUAGACAUUUCAAAUGACUACCACAUACGGAUGUAUGUAGACAUAUUUUGGAGUGUAGAUUCACUCGUUUUGCUCCGUAUGUAGUCACUUGUUGAAAUCUCUAGAAAGACAAAUAUUUAGGAACGGAGGGAGUACUUUGGAGCCGCAACUUUUUGGACUGCUUGAUGUUUAUAACCAAUGAGACUACUUUUUUGGUUGUUGGCUGGAGCUAUCACUAUGACUGGAUUUGUUUUCACCCAAGUAGAUUUAUAUGGUCAUCAAAAACCAACGACAGGUCAACACUUGUCAGCAGUUUGCAAUUUGUAUUACAGUAUGCCUAAGCCAAUGGUCAGACAAUGUUGUUUUAGUUAGGAAAUGUAGAAAAUGUGGUCAUGAUUUAUGUAGAUUCGACAGUCCCUUCAAACUGCAGUCUUCAACCUUGAGUGGACCAUCUAACAUUAUGUUUCCUUGUAGAAAAUUGACUAUAUGUUCCAUGAAUUGACUGAUUAUUUUGGCCCGAUCAGAUUAAACUAGGUCUUGAUUUGAAGGUCCAGCUAAGGCAGCUGGUGCUGGUUUAUUUGUUGUAAUACUAACUGUGCUAUUUAGACAGAGACAUGUGGUCUUUCUCAUUCCUCGAAAUUUUCCUUUGCUACCAAGAUUUUCCAUUCUAGGUUGUGGAAAAAUACAUGUAGCAUUCCUUCUACAAGUCGUCAUGAGCUGGGACAUAGAAGAAGAGAGCCGACGAGAAGUCGCACAGCGGUUCGCUCCGGUGUGGCUGCCAAUGGCGUUGCGCAAAGUGCAGAUUACAGGCUAGAUGCGUACGAGUCCGUCCCUACUUCCACGACGUGGAAGCAAAGGAAAUCGAGUCAAUUAGAUAGUAUAUUUGGUUAUGUAAGUUGUCUUUUGUGUAUGCAGUUUUACCAUUAUUUUGUAAAAGCUUUGAGUUUUUGAUAAUGUAAUUGUCUUACUAAUCACACUUUUAAUCUAUUCGUGCCAAGGCUAACAGCCAAGUUAUGCACAAGCUGUUGAUGUUUCCUUGA